AUUACCCAUGACUUCUCUAGACUCUCAUCAAAAGAAACGCAAGCCUACAGAGGUAUAAUAAGAUUAUCUGUGUCCUGAUUGGUUCAAAGAACUCUUAUGAAAACAAAGGACCUGCCAAUUCAGCUGCAGGGAGUGUUGCUACUGAUGGAACAAAACCAAACCACUUGGAAUUAACGCACAAUUUAAAGAGAUGGGGUUUGACCUUGUUGUCCAGGCUGGUUUCAAACUCCUGAGUUCAAGCAAUCUACCCACCCUUCAAAGUGUUGGGAUCACAGGUGACUCUUAGAAUCAUCUAGUCAAAAUGGAAUUGUGACUAUAUUUUACCAUUACAACAUAGAUGGAGAUUUUCAUCUAUUAAUAAAAGAUGUUCUCUAUUCACAAAUGGAAAUGGAGCAACAGUACACAAUUUCUGCCCCAGAAUUCAUGGCUGGUGCAGGUAAAAAGCUCUUUACAGAUUGCUAGUCAAUCCAUUUGCUUUACCUAAAAAGUUCAUUUAUAUAGUUUUAAAUGGUUUGCAGAAGUCGUUUGAAAAGUACUCUUGAAGUUUCAUGUCUUUUCCUCAAAACUUGACAGUCUUGGGAGUGACAAAAAGGGAGAAAAUAUACAAACAUAUGUGAUAUAUUCAUAGCUGGACUUAAACAAUGAUAAAAGA
Pan troglodytes (chimpanzee) is the source of this 652-nucleotide long non-coding RNA. RefSeq lists it as uncharacterized. NCBI's taxonomy places the organism in Eukaryota, Metazoa, Chordata, Mammalia, Primates, Hominidae. The transcript is spliced from 4 exons. The record is from RefSeq and is a predicted model, not a curated record.